RNAcentral lists this ribosomal RNA (250 nucleotides) under uncultured Comamonadaceae bacterium. RNAcentral describes it as "partial 16S ribosomal RNA". It matches the Rfam family "Bacterial small subunit ribosomal RNA", at positions 86 to 339 of the family's 1533-position model. Lineage: Bacteria; Pseudomonadati; Pseudomonadota; Betaproteobacteria; Burkholderiales; Comamonadaceae. The record is from RNAcentral.
UGAUGGCGAGUGGCGAACGGGUGAGUAAUGCAUCGGAACGUGCCCAGUCGUGGGGGAUAACGCAGCGAAAGCUGUGCUAAUACCGCAUACGAUCUAUGGAUGAAAGCGGGGGACCUCCGGGCCUCGCGCGAUUGGAGCGGCCGAUGUUAGAUUAGGUAGUUGGUGGGGUAAAGGCUCACCAAGCCGACGAUCUAUAGCUGGUCUGAGAGGACGACCAGCCACACUGGAACUGAGACACGGUCCAGACUCC